This 494-nucleotide ribosomal RNA is filed under the name uncultured bacterium. RNAcentral's name for it is "bacterial SSU rRNA". It matches the Rfam family "Bacterial small subunit ribosomal RNA", at positions 355 to 866 of the family's 1533-position model. The record is from RNAcentral.
UGGGGAAUAUUGGACAAUGGGCGCAAGCCUGAUCCAGCAAUGCCGCGUGAGUGAUGAAGGCCUUCGGGUUGUAAAGCUCUUUCGCCUGCGAGGAUGAUGACGGUAGCAGGAGAAGAAGCCCCGGCUAACUUCGUGCCAGCAGCCGCGGUAAUACGAAGGGGGCGAGCGUUGUUCGGAUUUACUGGGCGUAAAGGGCGCGUAGGCGGCGAUGUAAGUCAGGCGUGAAAGCCCCGGGCUCAACCUGGGAAUUGCGCUUGGGACUACAUUGCUGGAGUUCGGGAGAGGAGCGUGGAAUUCCCAGUGUAGAGGUGAAAUUCGUAGAUAUUGGGAAGAACACCGGUGGCGAAGGCGGCGCUCUGGACCGAAACUGACGCUGAGGCGCGAAAGCGUGGGGAGCAAACAGGAUUAGAUACCCUGGUAGUCCACGCUGUAAACGAUGUGCGCUGGAUGUUGGGCGACCUAGUCGCUCAGUGUCGUAGCUAACGCGAUAAGCG